CCUACGGGUGGCAGCAGUAGGGAAUUUUCGGCAAUGGGGGGAACCCUGACCGAGCAACGCCGCGUGAACGAAGACGUUCUUCGUAAUGUAAAGUUCUUUUAACAGGGAAGAAAGAGAAAUUUGACGGUACCUGAAGAAUAAGCCCUGACUAACUACGUGCCAUCAGCCGCGGUAAUGCGUAGGGAGCGAGCGUUAUCCGGAUUUAUUGGGCGUAAAGGGGUCGUAGAGGGCAGAGUAAGUCGUUUGUAAAAAUGCUGGGCUCAACCCAGUAGGGCAACAGAUACUGCGAAGCUAGAGUAUGACAGAGGCAAGGGGAACUACAGGUGUAGCGGUGAAAUGCGUAGAUAUAAGUAAGAACACCAGUGGCGAAGGCGGCUUGCUGGGUCGAUACUGACGUUGAGGCACGAAAGCGUGGGGAGCAAACAGGAUUAGAUACCCCUGUAGUC
Molecule: ribosomal RNA, 446 nt
Filed under: uncultured bacterium
Lineage: Bacteria
Description: partial 16S ribosomal RNA
Rfam family: Bacterial small subunit ribosomal RNA
Source: RNAcentral